GACGAGGGAUCCUAGCGUUGUUCGGAAUUAUUGGGCGUAAAGCGGGUGUAGGCGGCUCUAUAAGUCAGGUGUGAAAGCCCGAGGCUCAACCUCGGAAGUGCACUUGAUACUGUAGAGCUUGAAUGUGGUAGAGGUUACUGGAAUUGUUGGUGUAGUGGUGAAAUACGUAGAUAUCAACAGGAAUACCGGAGGCGAAGGCGGGUAACUGGGCCAACAUUGACGCUGAGACCCGAAAGCGUGGGGAUCAAACAGG
Molecule: ribosomal RNA, 253 nt
Filed under: uncultured bacterium
Lineage: Bacteria
Description: partial 16S ribosomal RNA
Rfam family: Bacterial small subunit ribosomal RNA
Source: RNAcentral